RNAcentral lists this transfer RNA (69 nucleotides) under Rhinostomus barbirostris (bearded weevil). Its description in RNAcentral is "tRNA-Met". It matches the Rfam family "tRNA". Rfam says of the family: Transfer RNA (tRNA) molecules are approximately 80 nucleotides in length. Their secondary structure includes four short double-helical elements and three loops (D, anti-codon, and T loops). Lineage: Eukaryota; Metazoa; Arthropoda; Insecta; Coleoptera; Curculionidae. The record is from RNAcentral.
AAAAAGAUAAGCUAACUAAGCUAGCGGGUUCAUACCCCGCUCAUAAAGGUUCCAGUCCUUUUCUUUUUA